This 377-nucleotide transfer-messenger RNA is filed under the name Armatimonas rosea. It matches the Rfam family "transfer-messenger RNA". Rfam says of the family: Bacterial tmRNA, also known as 10Sa RNA or SsrA, is named for its dual tRNA and mRNA-like properties. Its role is to liberate the mRNA from a stalled ribosome. Lineage: Bacteria; Bacillati; Armatimonadota; Armatimonadia; Armatimonadales; Armatimonadaceae. The record is from Rfam by way of RNAcentral.
GGGGGCGAUUGGAGUAGACAGGGUGCCGAUGAGACAGGUGGCGAGCCGAGGCGCGGGAGGCCUCGUAAAAACCCGCAAAAAAAACAAACGCCAAGAAGAACAACUUCGCGGUUGCUAAGAACGCUGUGCGUUCCUUAGCGCUUGCUUAACUAGUUUAAGCCAUCGCGUCACUUACCAGUGAGGAGUGAGUGCCCCGGUGAAGAUGAACCUCACUACCUAUCGGCGUAACGUGCGCAUCGCCGGGGGAAACAAAUCGUACUAGGACCCAGCCCAGCCCGUCCGUAGGCGGGGCCGUCUGAGAAUUAAACUGCGGACUAUGCUCGUAGAGGCUUGAUCUUUGACCACUUUGGACUGGGGUUCGAGUCCCCACGCCUCCG